Molecule: ribosomal RNA, 253 nt
Filed under: uncultured bacterium
Lineage: Bacteria
Description: partial 16S ribosomal RNA
Rfam family: Bacterial small subunit ribosomal RNA
Source: RNAcentral
UACGUAGGGGGCUAGCGUUGUCCGGAUUUAUUGGGCGUAAAGCGCAGGUAGGCGGUUUGAUAAGUCUGUUGUGAAAGCUCCCGGCUUAACUGGGAGAGGUCAACGGAAACUAUCAGGCUAGAGUGUGGUAGAGGUAGCUGGAAUUCCCGGUGUAGCGGUGAAAUGCGUAGAUAUCGGGAGGAAUACCUAUGGCGAAAGCAGGCUACUGGACCAUCACUGACGCUGAUCUGCGAAAGCUAGGGGAGCAAACAGG